GACGAACGCUGGCGGCGUGCUUAACACAUGCAAGUCGAACGGAAAGGCCCUGCUUUUGUGGUGUGCUCGAGUGGCGAACGGGUGAGUAACACGUGAGUAACCUGCCCUUGACUUUGGGAUAACUUCAGGAAACUGGGGCUAAUACCGGAUAGGAGCUCCUGCUGCAUGGUGGGGGUUGGAAAGUUUCGGCGGUUGGGGAUGGACUCGCGGCUUAUCAGCUUGUUGGUGGGGUAGUGGCUUACCAAGGCUUUGACGGGUAGCCGGCCUGAGAGGGUGACCGGCGACAUUGGGACUAAGGGAGGGACCAGAGUCAUAUGGGGGGCAGCAGGGGAGAAUAUUGCGCAAUGGGCGGAAGCCUGAUGCAGCAACGCCGGGGGCGGAAUGACGGCCUUCGGGUUGAGAACCGAUUGAGCCUGAGACGAAGCGUGAGUGACGGUAAUGGGUAAAGAAGCACCGGCUAACUACGUG
RNAcentral lists this ribosomal RNA (468 nucleotides) under uncultured bacterium. RNAcentral's name for it is "partial 16S ribosomal RNA". It matches the Rfam family "Bacterial small subunit ribosomal RNA", at positions 28 to 507 of the family's 1533-position model. The record is from RNAcentral.